RNAcentral lists this ribosomal RNA (482 nucleotides) under uncultured bacterium. RNAcentral describes it as "partial 16S ribosomal RNA". It matches the Rfam family "Bacterial small subunit ribosomal RNA", at positions 28 to 523 of the family's 1533-position model. The record is from RNAcentral.
GACGAACGCUGGAGGCGUGCUUAACACAUGCAAGUCGAACGAUGAAAUGGAGCUUGCUCCAUGGAUUAGUGGCGAACGGGUGAGUAACACGUGAAUAACCUGCCCUUAAUUUUGGAAUAACCCAGGGAAACCUGGGCUAAUACCGGAUAAGUAAACCUGUGGCAUCACAUGGUUUUGGAAAGUUUUUCGAUUAAGGAUGGAUUCGCGGCCUAUCAGCUUGUUGGUGAGGUAAUGGCUCACCAAGGCGACGACGGGUAGCCGGCCUGAGAGGGGGAAAGGCCACACGGGGACUGAGACACGGCCCAGACUCCUACGGGAGGCAGCAGUGGGGAAUAUUGCGCAAUGGACGAAAGUCUGACGCAGCGACGCCUCGUGAGGGACGAAGGUCUUCGGAUUGUAAACCUCUUUCAGCAGGGACGAAGCGAAAGUGACGGUACCUGCAGAAGAAGCACCGGCUAACUAUGUGCCAGCCGCCACAGUAA